AUGGACAUGAGGGUACCUGCUCAGCUCCUGGGGCUCCUGCUGCUCUGGCUCCUAGGUGCCAGAUGUUCCGGCCAAACAGUAACCCAGAGUCCAUCCGUGGUGUCUGCACCUGUGGGAGACACAGCCACCAUCAAAUGCGAGUCAGAUAAGAGUGUUGCUUACAACAAUUAUCUAAACUGGUAUCAGCAGAAACCAGGGCAACGUCCAAAGCUCCUGAUCUAUGCUGCAUCCACUUUAGAGUCUGGGGUCCCCUCGAGGUUCAAGGGCAGUGGCUCUGGGACAUCAUUCACCCUCACCAUCAGCGGGGUGCAGGAGGCAGAUGUAGGAACCUGCUACUGUCAAGGAGAUUUUGGUAGCUGGACAUACAGUGAUACAAGCCUGAACAAAAGCCUCCUAUGA
Non-coding RNA from Ochotona curzoniae (black-lipped pika), 399 nucleotides. Lineage: Eukaryota; Metazoa; Chordata; Mammalia; Lagomorpha; Ochotonidae. The record is from the annotation of a RefSeq genome assembly.